Carlito syrichta (Philippine tarsier) is the source of this 116-nucleotide small nuclear RNA. Its record names the gene U5. It matches the Rfam family "U5 spliceosomal RNA". From Rfam's summary of the family: U5 RNA is a component of both types of known spliceosome. The record is from Ensembl. NCBI's taxonomy places the organism in Eukaryota, Metazoa, Chordata, Mammalia, Primates, Tarsiidae.
AUACUCUGGUUUCUCUUCAGAUCAUAUAAAUCUUUCAUCUUUUACUAAAGAUUUCCAUAGAGAGGAGCAAUUCUGAGUCUUAAUCCAAUUUUUUGAGGCCUUGCAUCUGCAGGACA